UUGUAUUGUGGGAUUGCGAAUUUAAAUCUUUAACUACACUCAGUAAUUUACAUUUACAGAUAACCCAGAUUGUAGAACAACGUUUUCCUUGCAGAACAAAGUAGUUUCUCAAGUUAGUCAUUUCGAUCAUAUUUAUGGGGUGGUCUUCAGUCUUCAGUCUUCUUGAAUAUAACAAGGCACAAUGCAGAGGAUUCCAACUAGCAAGCUAUUCUCUCGGGAGUCUCGACUAGAAACCCCAUCAAACGCCUUGUACAUGUAUGGCAAGUUAGGACAAAAACUAGAUUGAGCAAGCAUGAAAUAAACGAAAGAGAAAGGGGCUGGGGAGAUGGAGGGUGAAUGAACCUUUCCCAAAUCCAAAAUGACUUGGAGGAGAGGACCCUACAAGCAAAUGGCAGCAUCAGCAUUUGCCUAAUACUACCAGAUCUAUUGAUUCCUGACAAGUCAACCCACGGCAAGAAGGUAAGGGACUCAUUGACUUUGCACCACCUCUUCAUAUGUGCAAAAUCAUUUUACUUCCAACAAAAAACCAUUUCAGAAACUCUGAAACUGUCUCCAUCUCUCCUUUUCUCUCUAAGCUAGCUAUACCAUGCGCCACAGCAUCUUCUUCCUCUCCCUCCCUCUCACAUUUGCACAUGAGAUAGAGAUUCCACAUGGGUUCUUAAAAGCCAGCAUUUCUAUUCCGUUGCCAUGCUUGGUCGCUAGUGUUUUUGGUCCUUGUAAGGAAAAUACUCAGCAUCCCUAACAUUAGACUUUGCUCAAAUUGAGAAGUACAUCUACGUACAAUUAGAAUAAGCUUGGACAUUUUUUUCAUCUUAAUUUACCAAGAACAAAUAUGCAAAUUCCCUUAGG
RNAcentral lists this unclassified non-coding RNA (849 nucleotides) under Hevea brasiliensis (rubber tree). Lineage: Eukaryota; Viridiplantae; Streptophyta; Magnoliopsida; Malpighiales; Euphorbiaceae. The record is from RNAcentral.